RNAcentral lists this long non-coding RNA (415 nucleotides) under Homo sapiens (human). RNAcentral describes it as "non-protein coding lnc-FAS-4:1". Lineage: Eukaryota; Metazoa; Chordata; Mammalia; Primates; Hominidae. The record is from RNAcentral.
GAUAAAGUUUCUGCAACUAUGGAGUUAUUAGUAGAGAAAGCAAUCAGCAGUGCUUCUAGCCCUCAGGGCCCUGGGGAUGCACUGAGAAGAGUUUUUGAGUGCAUUUCUUCAGGGAUUAUUUUUAAAGGUAGUCCUGGGCUUCUGGAUCUUUGUGAAAAGGAUCCCUUUGAUACCUUGGCAACAAUGACUGACCAGCAGUGUGAAGACUUCACAUCCAGUACACAGUUUGCAUUCAGACUCCUUGCAUUCCACCAGAUAUACAAAGUUAUAGGCAUGGAUCCAUUACCACAAAUGAGCCAACAUUUUAACAUCCAUGACAACAGGAAAUGAAGAAGGGAUAGUGAUGGAGUUGAUGGAUUUGAAGCUGAGGAGAAAAAAAGACAAAAAAAGAUUAUGAUAACUUUUAAAAGGUGUC